RNAcentral lists this ribosomal RNA (253 nucleotides) under uncultured bacterium. Its description in RNAcentral is "partial 16S ribosomal RNA". It matches the Rfam family "Bacterial small subunit ribosomal RNA", at positions 524 to 776 of the family's 1533-position model. The record is from RNAcentral.
UACAGAGGGUGCAAGCGUUAAUCGGAUUUACUGGGCGUAAAGGGCGCGUAGGUUGUUGUAUAAGUGAGAUGUGAAAUCCCCGGGCUCAACCUGGGAACUGCAUUUGUGACUGUAGAGCUGGAGUACGGCAGAGGGGGAUGGAAUUCCGCGUGUAGCAGUGAAAUGCGUAGAUAUGCGGAGGAACACCGAUGGCGAAGGCAAUCCCCUGGGCCUGUACUGACGCUCAUGCACGAAAGCGUGGGGAGCAAACAGG